RNAcentral lists this long non-coding RNA (551 nucleotides) under Dromaius novaehollandiae (emu). Its description in RNAcentral is "lncRNA (ENSDNVG00000002062.1)". The record is from RNAcentral. Lineage: Eukaryota; Metazoa; Chordata; Aves; Casuariiformes; Dromaiidae.
AGGAGAGGACGCGGCCGCUGGGUGCUGCUGCGAGUCCCGGCAGCCGUGGGCAGGGCACCUGAAACCUCCCUGCAUCUGCUGGAGGACGUUUGUGGUGGAAACAGUGACCGCCUCAGCGGCCUCAGUCCCGAGUCGCAAGGUAGAUCUGUGAAUGUUGUCAAAAGAGGGGCACAGGAACUAAAUAUUCCUCUUUUAUGGGACAUACGAAAACAAUAUUUGUGUUCCUCCGGCCUUUUCUGCUGUUGCCUGCACUCUCAGUGCUUCCCAGGGAAGGCAGUGGUCCUCGACCUUUCCCUCUAGACCCCCUGGGAUGGCGACCUCAUGACCGCCAAUCCUUGGCCAACGUCUGCAUCCUUGGGAUGCUGAAGCCAUUUGAGAAGAAAUGUGAUGGACUCGAAGGGCUUGUGAUGUGGCUAAACAUCUAUUCUGAAACACUUCCCAUCAGUUUGACAUCGAGGUACGUUCGUCCUGUUGGAGACUAUCCUACGGGUAGUAGCAGAAAGCUGAUGGUUAACCAGUACAUACAGGAUCUUCUGUCAUUUCAUUGCUAA